GUUUGAUCCUGGCUCAGAAUCAACGCUGGCGGCGCGCCUAACACAUGCAAGUCGAACGAGAAAGCCGCAAGGUGAGUAAAGUGGCGUACGGGUGAGUAACACGUGGAUGAUCUACCCUCUAGUGGGGAAUACCGUUGGGAAACCGACGACAAUACCGCAUAAGCUCGAGAGAGGAAAGCAGCAAUGCGCUGGAGGAGGAGUCCGCGGUCGAUUAGUUAGUUGGCAGGGUAAAAGCCUACCAAGACUGUGAUCGAUAGCCGGCCUGAGAGGGCACACGGCCACACUGGCACUGAAACACGGGCCAGACUCCUACGGGAGGCAGCAGUGGGGAAUCUUGCACAAUGGAGGAAACUCUGAUGCAGCGACGCCGCGUGAGCGAUGAAGCCCUUCGGGGUGUAAA
This 400-nucleotide ribosomal RNA is filed under the name uncultured bacterium. RNAcentral's name for it is "bacterial SSU rRNA". It matches the Rfam family "Bacterial small subunit ribosomal RNA", at positions 11 to 429 of the family's 1533-position model. The record is from RNAcentral.